Molecule: transfer RNA, 73 nt
Filed under: Candidatus Wolfebacteria bacterium
Lineage: Bacteria; Candidatus Wolfeibacteriota
Description: tRNA-His
Rfam family: tRNA
About the family: Transfer RNA (tRNA) molecules are approximately 80 nucleotides in length. Their secondary structure includes four short double-helical elements and three loops (D, anti-codon, and T loops). Further hydrogen bonds mediate the characteristic L-shaped molecular structure. tRNAs have two regions of fundamental functional importance: the anti-codon, which is responsible for specific mRNA codon recognition, and the 3' end, to which the tRNAs corresponding amino acid is attached (by aminoacyl-tRNA synthetases). tRNAs cope with the degeneracy of the genetic code in two manners: having more than one tRNA (with a specific anti-codon) for a particular amino acid; and 'wobble' base-pairing, i.e. permitting non-standard base-pairing at the 3rd anti-codon position.
Source: RNAcentral
GUGGCCUUAGUUCAGCGGCUAGAACGCCUCGUUGUGGCCGAGGAGGUCAGGGGUUCAAAUCCCCUAGGCCACC